Molecule: unclassified non-coding RNA, 425 nt
Filed under: soil metagenome
Description: partial contains 5.8S ribosomal RNA, internal transcribed spacer 2, and large subunit ribosomal RNA
Rfam family: 5.8S ribosomal RNA (bases 1-120)
Source: RNAcentral
GAUGAAGAACGCAGCGAAAUGCGAUAAGUAGUGUGAAUUGCAGAAUUCCGUGAAUCAUCGAAUCUUUGAACGCACAUUGCGCCUUCUGGUAUUCCGGAAGGCAUGCCUGUUCGAGAGUCAUUAACAACCGUUUCGAUCCCUUUCUUUCAGAAAUUACAAAGAGGAAAAGGGUUUGGUUAUGGUGGGGGAGGGAAAGGGAGCGUUUAGCCUGUAAAAUAAGAGGCUGUGUUCCGCCUCCCCCCCAAAAUUGUACAGGCGGUCGUGUGCGCCCACGCAUCGAGGUGUUGUAAAAGCUGCCACGGCACUUUUCACCUGUGCAGUGCGAGAUUGGCCAGCCGGUUUAAAAACCCCUCCAAACAAUCAAAGGUUGACCUCGGAUCAGGUAGGGAUACCCGCUGAACUUAAGCAUAUCAAUAAGCGGAGGA